Molecule: ribosomal RNA, 497 nt
Filed under: uncultured bacterium
Lineage: Bacteria
Description: partial 16S ribosomal RNA
Rfam family: Bacterial small subunit ribosomal RNA
Source: RNAcentral
GAUGAACGCUGGCGGCGUGCCUAAUACAUGCAAGUCGAGCGAACAGACGAGGAGCUUGCUCCUCUGACGUUAGCGGCGGACGGGUGAGUAACACGUGGAUAACCUACCUAUAAGACUGGGAUAACUUCGGGAAACCGGAGCUAAUACCGGAUAAUAUAUUGAACCGCAUGGUUCAAUAGUGAAAGACGGUUUUGCUGUCACUUAUAGAUGGAUCCGCGCCGCAUUAGCUAGUUGGUAAGGUAACGGCUUACCAAGGCAACGAUGCGUAGCCGACCUGAGAGGGUGAUCGGCCACACUGGAACUGAGACACGGUCCAGACUCCUACGGGAGGCAGCAGUAGGGAAUCUUCCGCAGUGGGCGAAAGCCUGACGGAGCAACGCCGCGUGAGUGAUGAAGGUCUUCGGAUCGUAAAACUCUGUUAUUAGGGAAGAACAAAUGUGUAAGUAACUAUGCACGUCUUGACGGUACCUAAUCAGAAAGCCACGGCUAACUACGUG